CUGGGGCCAAAAUCAUAACAGCAAUAGCAGUUUCCUCGGCUGAGCCCAUUUGUCUCUAGGAGUCACGGCUGAAUCAGUCACAUGACCAUCAGGGCUGCCAGUCUCCUCUUCCUCCCGUCUUCUUUUGUUAGAACCGUCAGAUAGUCUCUGAGAUCUUAGGAACCCUGUUUUGUUGUAUAUCCUCUGCCCUGGUAUGAAGAAAAGAUGAUUCUUACUGUGGGCUUUAGCUUUUUGUUUUUCUACAGGGGCAUGCUGUGUGACAAAGUAACUCAGAGUUCCCCGGACCAGAUGGUGGCGAGUGGCAGUGAGGUGGUACUGCUCUGCACUUACGACAGUACAUAUUCAGAUCCAGGUUUAUUCUGGUACCGCAUAAGGCCAGAUUAUAAUUUUCAGUUUGUCUUCUAUGGGGAUAAAAGCAGAUCUCACGGUUCAUAUUUUGCUAAAGGACGGUUUUCUGUGAAGCACCUUCUGACCCAGAAAGCCUUUCACUUGGUAAUCUCUCCAGUGAGUACUGAAGACAGUGCCACUUACUACUGUGCCAUGAGCACGAUGAUGCAGGUGCCCAGGAAGUCUUAACACAAACUCCUGGGGCAUGGCUCAGCAGAGCUACCUCUCAGGGUGGGUCAUGUCUGGGACUUGGCAUCCUUCUCUUAGCCAUUUUGUGUUCCAGCCUGGCCUUUAGAAGUGACCUAAAGUGUCUUCUGAGAAAUAAAUGGCCUGGUCAGAUCCAGGGGAGCACCCUGGCUUCAGAGAAGCAGAACAUCUCCCCACUUCUGACUCAGUGGGCCCUUGCCACCUGAAUGACUCCUGGUAGGCAAGGGAGAACUGCAUGUUUAGGGAGCAUUGUCUUUGUGUCCC
This is a non-coding RNA of Macaca mulatta (Rhesus monkey), 858 nucleotides long. NCBI's taxonomy places the organism in Eukaryota, Metazoa, Chordata, Mammalia, Primates, Cercopithecidae. The record is from the annotation of a RefSeq genome assembly.